Long non-coding RNA from Rosa rugosa (rugosa rose), 1527 nucleotides. RefSeq lists it as uncharacterized. The record is from RefSeq and is a predicted model, not a curated record. The transcript has 3 exons. Lineage: Eukaryota; Viridiplantae; Streptophyta; Magnoliopsida; Rosales; Rosaceae.
AUUUUGUUGUUUCUGUGCUACGUAGGAAUAAAUAGUAAUCAGUGAGGGACGCUAGCUCUUUUUAUCGAGGAGGUAUUUUUUUCAAAACAUUUAGAAGAUUUUUAAAAUCCUCUUAUUAAACAGUUAGAUGUAUUGAGGUGUGGAUACACUGGUUUCUUCAUCGGGUUAAUAGUUCUCUUCCAUUAGAGCUGAUAAAACUUUUUUUCUUCCACCUUUUCUGUCAUGAUUUUAUUUCAAUUGGACAAAACUUGAUGUAGCCAUUCUACACAGAUAGAGGGCAUGUUCUUUUACUUCAUGUUUCACCUAGGGAUCAUUUAUACACAGAUAGAGGGCAUGUUCUUUUACUUCAUGUUUCACCUGUUAUGUUACUAGCUAGACUAAGGUACUAAUAUUUAGUCUAACAUUAAAAGAUAUCAAAUUUUGCAUGAGUUUAGACUUUUUCUAACAAACAUGAGAAGACCUUAAUUUGCUCCCUAAUUUCAUCACAGUGAAUAUUGUCCAGCACCAUUAAAUUUGCUCCCUAAUUUCAUCUAGGGUUGAAAUUCCAAAUGAUUUACUUAUUCUCACUUACUUCUAAAAGUGAAUGAGUUUAGUUUGUCUCCAAUUUCUUCUUCUCAUCUCCAGCACCAUUAAUUUGCUCCCUAAUUUCAUCACUUCCUUUCUUCAAUGCCCUAAUCUCUUCUUCCACCACAAGCUUUUUGCCUUCCAAAGCCCGAAACACCUCAAGACCUUCAUACUAACUCUUUCUUUUCACAAUCUCCAACUAUCAGUUGCAACUUGCAACACAAUCCAACCUGGCACAAGAAAAAAAAGGUACUUCACUAUCAAAUCCCUUGAUGUUUUUUUUAUUUUUUAUUUUUAUUUCUGCAUUGAUCUUAAGAUACCUUUGUUUUGAUAGUCAGUCAACCAAAUACAUUACUCUUUGCCAGGGAUCAAGACUGCAUUAUACUUGGACAUCAUCUAUGUAGUAGAUAUUUACAAUUUAUGAUUAGCCAACUUGGAUCCUUAUUUUCUAUGGAAGAUCUAAGUGAUCUCCAUUGUUUAUAAGCUUGGGAAGCUGUAGAAACUCUUAUGGUCACCAUUUGUCGUAAAUCAAUUACAUUUCUGAUUUAAUAAAUCAACUUAAUGUGCUUUUACUGGUGGAUAUAGGACUGGUUGGAUAUCUCUGAGAGGUAGACUUGGGGUUCGUUUCGGAAGAGCUGUGAGCCAAGAUUGUGAUCAAGUUUACGAGACAGGCUUCGGGAGCAAAAGCAGUUUUUCUUGCAUCUUUGGCACUGGUUGGGUUAUACUUUGAAAAAAGAGGACCCAAACAAUGAAGCUACACUGAAACUGCUAGCAAAACAAGCCAAGCAACUCUUUGCAGUUUUUGUACAGACAGAUCAAAUGUAGCUAGGUUAGCCUAUAAGUAGAACAAUAUAUUUUUGACAAGCUGUGUGAACAGCAGUUGUAUUGUAUAUUUGCACAUUAUCAGAACAUUUAUAUUAAUGGUAAUGUUAGUUGCAAACAUAAGUCUCUAGCCGCCCAAAC